AUUUCCGUAGGGUGAACCUGCGGAGGGAUCAUUACACAACAAAAUAUGAAGGCCUGGCUUUCGCGGCCGGCUGAAGUAUUUUUUUCACCCAUGUCUUUUGCGCACUUGUUGUUUCCUGGGCGGGUUCGCCCGCCACCAGGACCAAACCAUAAACCUUUUUUUCUUAUGCAGUUUCCAUCAGCGUCAGUAAAAACAAUGUAAUUAUUACAACUUUCAACAACGGAUCUCUUGGUUCUGGCAUCGAUGAAGAACGCAGCGAAAUGCGAUACGUAGUGUGAAUUGCAGAAUUCAGUGAAUCAUCGAAUCUUUGAACGCACAUUGCGCCCUUUGGUAUUCCAAAGGGCAUGCCUGUUCGAGCGUCAUUUGUACCUUCAAGCUUUGCUUGGUGUUGGGCGUUUUUUUGUCUCCCUCUUUCUGGGAGACUCGCCUUAAAACGAUUGGCAGCCGGCCUACUGGUUUCGGAGCGCAGCACAUUUUUUGCGCUUUGUAUCAGGAGAAAAGGACGGUACUCCAUCAAGACUCUACAUUUUUCACUUUUGACCUCGGAUCAGGUAGGGAUACCCGCUGAACUUAAGCAUAUCAAUAAGCGGAGGAA
This 595-nucleotide ribosomal RNA is filed under the name Bipolaris oryzae. Its description in RNAcentral is "eukaryotic LSU rRNA". The stretch from base 209 to 362 matches the Rfam family "5.8S ribosomal RNA". The record is from RNAcentral. Lineage: Eukaryota; Fungi; Ascomycota; Dothideomycetes; Pleosporales; Pleosporaceae.